UACAGGGGUGGCAAGCGUUGUUCGGAAUUACUGGGCGUAAAGGGCGCGUAGGCGGUCUCUUGAGUCUUGUGUGAAAUCCCUCGGCUCAACUGAGGAACUGCACGGGAUACUGGAAGACUUGAGUUCGGGAGAGGGAAGCGGAAUUCCGGGUGUAGCGGUGAAAUGCGUAGAUAUCCGGAGGAACACCGGUGGCGAAGGCGGGUCUCUGGGCCGAUACUGACGCUGAGGAGCGAAAGCGUGGGGAGCAAACAGG
This 253-nucleotide ribosomal RNA is filed under the name uncultured bacterium. Its description in RNAcentral is "partial 16S ribosomal RNA". It matches the Rfam family "Bacterial small subunit ribosomal RNA", at positions 524 to 776 of the family's 1533-position model. The record is from RNAcentral.